AAUCUGUGGUUUACCCUUCUGGUCCUGCAGCUGUCCAUAGCAAAGAAAAGCAUUAAAAAGCUGUUAAGUCGUCAGUGCUCCGAAAUGUCUUGAAGUCACAGGGAGGCAGAAGGUGACACCGCACAUCCCAGGGAACUGUGCUGCCUGCCCAUAGACCAAGUUUUCAAGAAUAAAAGACAGGAGCCAGAGUGGCUGCACCAAAACACUCAUGGAAAGCAGAAGACGAUGGAGUCCAGCCAGACACCAGCCAGGAGGAAGCAGGAAGGUACCUGGACAAGCUGCUGUGGGAAACCAGGCAGGAAAUAAGCCCACAGCCAGAAAUGUGGCUGCAAGCAGCACAUCCACAGAUCUCCAGCAGCAGAUAAGUUGCUUUGCCCAGGGAAGUUACUUUGCUGCAAUCUAA
RNAcentral lists this long non-coding RNA (403 nucleotides) under Anas platyrhynchos platyrhynchos (common mallard). Its description in RNAcentral is "lncRNA (ENSAPLG00000019172.1)". Lineage: Eukaryota; Metazoa; Chordata; Aves; Anseriformes; Anatidae. The record is from RNAcentral.